This 588-nucleotide long non-coding RNA is filed under the name Numida meleagris (helmeted guineafowl). Its description in RNAcentral is "lncRNA (ENSNMEG00000020480.1)". The record is from RNAcentral. Lineage: Eukaryota; Metazoa; Chordata; Aves; Galliformes; Numididae.
CUGGAAUGCUUUGAGCAUCUCAGGGCUGGUGGAUUUGUAAUAUUGGACGUUACAUUACCAAUAUUAAGUUCAUUCACUACUUCUGUUACUACAGCUCACUGCUAUUAUAACACUUCAAAGACUGGAUUGGCAUCGUGCUGCUCAGGGGAUGCUGUAACCGAGGUGCUGGGUGCAGAGGAAGAAUUUUGAAGCUCAUGCUUUCCACGUUCUCAGAGUCUACGGACAAAUGAACACAAACCACCGGGAGACGUCCUGCCAGAGUGAGAUGAAUAGGACGGCCGGCGGGCGCGCACUGCUGGGCACAGACCCAGGCUCGGUGCUGAGGGGGACCACUGCUGACCCACCAGGUCCGUUAGUUGGUGUUGGAGCAUCGGACGCGUUGGAUGGAUGUGUGUUGUUCUUCGUGAAAUCCUCAGCGAAAUGAACUGAAGGGACUCACCCGAGUGCAGCAGGACUGUGUCAGGGCUCAGGAUGGGAUUUCUGAGUUUCUUUAGUUUCAGUGGGAUUUCCCUUUCUUACCCAGCAGAUAUGAUGUUGCAUGGCGAGAUGUAGUGGCUUUUCUCAAUAAAAGCCACGUGUGUCUGUGCA